AGAGUUUGAUCAUGGCUCAAAACGAACGCUGGCGGCGUGGAUAAGACAUGCAAGUCGAACGGGGCUUUGUUUGUAGCAAUACAAACAAAGUUCAGUGGCGAACGGGUGCGUAACACGUGAGCAAUCUGCCGGGAAGUGGGGGAUAGCUCGCCGAAAGGCGAAUUAAUACCGCAUAUGGCCAGGAAGGACAUUCUUCCGAAGCCAAAGCAGCAAUGCGCUUCCUGAUGAGCUCGCGGCCUAUCAGCUAGAUGGCGGGGUAAAACCCCACCAUGGCUAUGACGGGUAGCUGGUCUGAGAGGACGACCAGCCACACUGGAACUGAGACACGGCCCACACUCCUACGGGAGGCAGCAGUGGGGAAUAUUGCACAAUGGGCGAAAGCCUGAUGCAGCGACGCCGCGUGAGGGAUGACGGCCUUCGGGUUGUAAACCUCUUUCAGCAGGGACGAAGCGCAAGUGACGGUACCUGCAAAAGAAGCACCGGCUAACUACGUGCCAGCAGCCGCGGUAAUACGUAGGGUGCAAGCGUUGUCCGGAAUUACUGGGCGUAAAGAGUUCGUAGGCGGUUUGUCGCGUCGUUUGUGAAAACCAGCAGCUCAACUGCUGGCUUGCAGGCGAUACGGGCAGACUUGAGUACUGCAGGGGGAGACUGUAAUUCCUGGUGUAGCGGUGAAAUGCGCAGAUAUCAGGAGGAACACCGGGUGGCGAGGGCGGGUCUCUGGGCAGUAACUGACGCUGAGGAACGAAGCGUGGUAGCGAACAUGAUUAGAUACCCCUGUAGUCCCACGCAGUAACGUCGGGCGCCUUAGUGUGUUGCUUUCCUUACGACAGAAUGCGUGCAGUAGCUACGCAAUAGCGCCCGCUGAGAGAGGUACCGCCGCAGGCUUAACUCGAAUGUAUUGACCGAGCCUCAGAUACUAGCGACGUGCAUGGUAUUAGUUCGAUGCCAACGCGAAAGAAU
RNAcentral lists this ribosomal RNA (960 nucleotides) under uncultured bacterium. RNAcentral's name for it is "bacterial SSU rRNA". It matches the Rfam family "Bacterial small subunit ribosomal RNA", at positions 8 to 970 of the family's 1533-position model. The record is from RNAcentral.